Numida meleagris (helmeted guineafowl) is the source of this 8609-nucleotide long non-coding RNA. RefSeq lists it as uncharacterized. The transcript has 2 exons. Lineage: Eukaryota; Metazoa; Chordata; Aves; Galliformes; Numididae. The record is from RefSeq and is a predicted model, not a curated record.
UGAAGGUGAGGCUGUACCAGGCUCUGAGCAUCCUGAUCUAGCUGUGGAUGUCCCUGUUCAUUGCAGGGAAGUUGGACCAGAAGGCCAUUAAGGGUCUCUUCCAACUCAAAAGAUUCUAUGAUUUUGAUUUAGAAAGCAAAUUUGAAUUAGAAACAGAGCACUUCUUUGUUCAGGGCACAAAGAGCUGUAUUACUGUAUAAAAGUUCUGUGCAGUGAGACCCUACCUUCAAUGGGCAGACUACAAUAAAACAAUAGAUGACCUGCAGCUCAAGACUGAAGCAUUGUACGGUGUCCUUUUGUGGCUUUAUAUUUAUUGGCUUUCUCUGGGAGCUUUACUUUCUAGGUGAGAGAUUGUUCCACUGACCAUCUCUGUUUACCACGUAAAGUCUCAGAACGCAAGCUUGCAGUGCUUAGGUAAACUAGUUGUCAAUGCUUGUAACAAAGAGUCUGUAACAAGAAGUAUAACGAGAGAAUAAUGAAUGAAUUUCAUGUGCAAUGUAAGAGUAUUGAAACUAGCUGUGAAAGACAAGUUUUGUCAAUGUAGUUAUAAUAACUGUAAUGAAGACACCUUUCCUCACUCAAAUUCUUGAACGCUAAACUUGUCUGAAGUUUGUCUUCAUUUUUGUACUCAUCUAACAAUUGCAUUCCCAUCUGCUGUUCCUUCUGCUCUGUUCACAUGGAGAUCAUCUGACGCCAUGCUUCUGAGAAAUCUCUUUCUCCUCCAGGAUUCAGUGUGGAUGAAGAUAGCAAACUCAUUUCUGAUUGGACCACUUUUGUAAGUGAAAUGGCUGGAAAUUGGUACCCUUAGCUUUUUCUAAGCUGGGAAUGAUCAUGCUUGCCUAAACUAUACUGCAGUGUUGAAAAUGAGGGUUUUCACAUAAGCAGAAUGGAACGGGUAGCAAACUAAGAUUACCUUUCUCUGAAAAACUUUUAACACUCCUUCCACCCUGCGAGCAGUGCUUGAAUUGUUGUGGUUUGCGAGUGAUUCAAUAAUCAAAAUCUUAUUUAUAGUGUCUUUGUAGCAUACUUCACAGAUUAGGAAUUUAGUCAGUGCAGUUAAUGUUCUUCCUGAAGCAGAAAACCACAAAUAAGGGACUGAAAUAUGAAGAGAGAGAGGGAGAUGGAAGAAAAAUGAAAAGAGUGUACCUUUGUCCAAGGUUUUCAUUGUGUCUAACCUUCUCUGUUACUCCUAUCCUUCUAAUUCUUUCAGGAGAUGAUAGCAAAAUGUUCUCUCACUAUAGAAAAGCAUUUUCAAAUUUCCAUGCUACUGCUUGAAACACGGUGAUGCUUUUAAAGCAGACAUUUUCCAUGGCCUUAACUGCUCACAGGUCUGUCCUAAAACCAAAGUAGCCACUGUGCAUACCUAGUAAGUACUGUUCAUAAACAUUUUUAUAAUGUUUGACCUUAAGAGUGACCUGAAGAUUAAUGGAUAUGUUGUAUCAGUUUUAAUGGGCCUCUUCUCCCUUGGUUGCACACAUGUGACUCCCAUUAGCCUUAAUGGGAGUUAUAUGCGUGCCUAGAGGUUAGACAAGACCUCUAAAGGUGCUGUUAUGCUCUGUUGUAUUAACGAUCUCAUAAUUGCUGAGGUGCUGCACCUUUGCAUUGAAAGCAAACUAAUUAAAUCAGUCUAGUAUAAGUUGGUAUACUAACAUUCUUGGCAUGUAUGUGGUUUUUCCUGAGACUCUCAGUAUGUAGAGAUAUAGGCCAAAUCAAAUGCGGAAUUUAAAUUUUAACUGUGACCUGGAUUUGUUUAUAAAUAUCUCUUUAAAACCCAUAUGGUUUUGUGAAUUUGAUUUCUAAGAAGAAUGACUGUUCAUGCUAAUACAGGGGAAGAUGAUGAAUGCAAUGUUUUAUCAUUAAUGUGUGUAUUGAGAGAAGAGACUGAACUGGUUCUUUUUUUUUAAUGUUCCAAAUCAUGUACUUUGAAAAAUGCAGUUAGGUCUUGAGGAUUAAUAUGAAUUUUGAUGUUGAAUUUUAAUUAUAGCACUGUUACUCAUUUCUACCAAGUGCCGUUAGACAAAGCACUUCACCUUUCUUUGAUUUCCCGGUAUGUAAAAUACCUGCUUGAUUCAUAGCAUUCUAGACAUAAAUUAAUAUCUGUACUAUGCUUUGAAUACGUAAGAUUUGUCCAUCCAAAUCUGUUCUACUGGCAUGAUAAUGACAACUCAGGAGGUGGAAAAAAACAAAGUAUCUAGCCAAUACAGAUAGCAAAAGCCCUAGUAGAAAUGUAGAUCUGGUGACGGAACUAAUUCUGUUUUAUAGCUUUAUGAUGCAUAAGACAUUGUGAUUGUAAUGAAAAAUCUUUGUUGUGUUUUCUUGGGGGGGAGGAGGUUGGAAGAAGUGGUAUGGUUGGAAAAUCAUUUGACAUUUUUAUCAAUCAAAAUCAUUAUUAGAAUUUGACAGUUACUAUUAAAGUUUGUGUGCUGUCUUCCAUGACUGUAUAUGUAAGUUUGAAAAUUAACCAUGAUGUAGUCUCCUUUGAAAGUAUAAAUCUGGGGAAAGAAUGAAUCUUAAUAUUUAAUUUCCAGAGGAAAAUGUUGUGGUAACCUUCACAUCUUAAAUUUGUUUUCUGUUUUUCUUGUAUUAGAUGAAAGUACUUUAGAAACUCAAUUUUGUGAUUCCCUUUAUUAUUUAUGAGGUAAUGGAAAGAUCUCACAUCUGUUCUGAUUGAUGUAGUUUUUUUAUUUUGCCUUUACAAGGUUCAUAGUCUUUAUUAGAAAGCAGCAAAUUUUCAUGACUAUGAUGCUAAAGUCUUUUCUGUAACUGGACAUACCUGGAAAAAUCAUGUGAAUGGUUAAUGGUUUUGUAUCUGACUUUUGAGUCUGAUAUAUAUAAUGUAUGGUAUAGUUUCAUCAAAGUUUUCUUUAUCAUGUGAAUUUAAAAAAUAAAAGUAUAUUUACACUUAGUAACCUGGGGUUAUUUCUCCAUUACUAUUUUAAAGAAGAAAUAGGUCAAGUGUUACGUUAAAUAUAUAUAGAAUGUUGUUAAAGAAACUUGAAAAUGAAAGCUGAACUUAGCUUAUUUCAGCUUUUGUACAUAUGCUUACCCAGAAAAAAGAAGGAACGGGUCUACUUUAUAACCUUUGCAAACUGCAUACCUCCUAAAUAUGAAGAUUGUAGGUGUCUCUGUAUACUUGAGGUUCUUUGUCCUUUCUUGCUGGCAUACUCUGAACUCCUAGUCAUAGGGAUUGCAUUCUAUGUAUUUUACAGUGUCAAGCACUAGCCUUCUCAUGAAAGAAGCUUCUACUGGAGAAAAAAAAAGGAAAUCUAUUUUUGCUACUAUUCAUAGACCAGUUUUCUAAGGAGAAUAAUCAACAUCUUCAAAAUGAUUUAGCUAUUUUUUUUCCCUUUGUCAAGAAUAAUGAGACUUUUAUUAUUUUUGCCAGAAUAACGGCUGACGUGAAAUGAGUGGUUUAUUAUAUUCCCCACAAUUUAAGGGUGAUUGAAUGCUGGAGCAUGUUGUCCAGACAGGUUUUAGAGCCUCCAUCUCUGGAGAUUUUCAGGGCUUGAUUGUACACAGACCUGAGCAACCUGCCCUACUUUACCCCGCACUGAGCAGACCGUUGGACAAGAUGACCUUCAGAGCUCCUUGCCAACCUCAACCAUUCUGUGAUUCUGUAAUUUGUGUGGUUACCUUGCCACAACUUUUGCAUUAUAUACCAACUUGCAAAUACAAAUUCAAAUAUUUAAAAUGGUAAUUGAGAUUAAGUACUCCUAUUUUAUCCCUAUCUUAAAUUUAAAAGCAGUAGUUAGCAUAACAUGGAUAGCUAUGAAUGUCAUCAAGCUAAUUAACAGAAUAUAGACAGUGUGCUGUACUGAAUACAUUACAGUUUUCUCAGAAUGGAAAGAUUAUACAGAGAAUUGACAUGAAAGUUUUUAAUGCAAGUUGCUUCAUAUUUUAGCCUCAGUUGACAUACUACUAAAUAAAUAAUGCAAUAAAUACUAAUGCCAUUAAUAACUUAUGUUUAAUUUUAUACAUGUGCUCUUGAUUGCCUUAAAAUUGUUUUUAUAUUAUGUGUUCAUAGUUCUAACAAGAAUGAACUAGUUAUACCUUUUUCAGUUUUUUGAUAUCCAGCAGUUAAAUUUUAACUGAGUCAGAAAUAUUAGGUGAUUUAGUGAGAAGUUAAAAACUUGAAUCUUAAAAGCAAGAUAUUGGGGUUCUUCUGAGUUGUGGUCUGUUUCUGAAAUCCACUGUAGUUCUAUAUAUAACUUCUUACUGAUUCAUAAGUUUGUUUCUGUUUACACCAAUUCUGUGAGAAGGUAGCUGAGUUGUUAAAUUAAAGAUGAGCCUGCAUUUUAGCCUCUCUGUUUCAUAGUUUUUUGCCUCUAUUAACAAUUUUAAGGUUUAGUGAUGUAAAAACUGAGAUGGUUUAGGCUCGGGCGCCCUUGACUUCUGACUGUAGAUGUUACUGAAACAGUGCAAGUAGAAAACAGAUCUGUGAUACCAUCUCAGUAGCGAUUCGUGUGAACUUGCGCCAAGUGGAGAAGAGAUUGGUGAUACCAUUCCAGUAGAAAUUUGUUUAAACUUGCCCCUGGAGCUCUUGAGGAUUUUAUAACCUUGUCAGUCAUUAGAUAGUAUUCCAUAAAGUUGUUGUAUAUACCAAAUAUGUUAAAAAGCACCAAUUAGAACUGGGGAAGAGUGUGCUACAGUGCAUGUGCUCAAAUAAUUGUGAGGAUAAUAAUAAAUCACUCUAGACUAAUGAUUCCUGUAUGAACUUAAUAAGGAAAUAAUAAAGAAAGACAUGAAAACGUAACAUUGUUUUUGGUAACCUGUACAUUUUAUUACCUCUACCUUCACAGUUCAAACAUGGUACAAAAUAGAUGGUUUCAUUUGUUAGUGGUCAUUGGAGAAGUUGAUUUGAUGUGCUUUCUCUGCUUGUGUUGUUCCCAGAUACAAAAAUCAGGAUAUUACUACAAAAAUUUCAGACAUCAAGCUAUGCAUGGAAUAAGCUAAAAAGGAUAUGAACCUGCCUUGAUUUAUUCUUUACUGUUCUUCUAUAAUGUGAUGCAAAUUAUUUUUGUCCUUUAUAUUUGUGUUUGGUUUUUCUCUGGGACAACAGAGGCUGACUUUGUGUUCUUUUAUAAGUGAAUAGUUUGUCCCGUUCAGUUCCUUGUGCAGCUAAUGUCACAGAAAAAAUAUUAUAGGAAUUCAGUGCUGUUUAACUCAUUUUUCAUAAGCCACUGUUGCUGGUAACUAGGAUUAAGGGCCUAGUAUGAUUCUGAAUGAAGAUCUGUGAUGGAUAAACAUGAGUGCUGUUUUUCCUAGGGUAAACAUUAGUAAUGACUUCAUCAAGCUGAUACAGAAUUUUCAAAGUUAUGGUUUAUUUCAAAUUAGACAAGAUUAUCAGCAAACCUGUUCUUUGCCCUGUAACGGAAGAAAAAAAAUCAUAUGAUUAUUUAUGUGAUUGUAUAUGCAAAAUCAACUGAGUAAUGCAGAUACCUAAAAACAGGAGGAGAGCUGGAUUUUAGAGGAAAUGUCUGUUGUAUUCUGAUAUCAACAGCAACUUAGAUCACAUUGGUAUCACAUCAGAAUAAUGUUUUACAGCCUCUGCCAAUUUAAAAAUCAAAUGGAUGUUAGAUUUGUAUAGAACAACACAUUUGACUGACAGAAAAGGCUGUUAUAGAUGGAUGUGAUGUUCUAUCCUUGUAUAACAAGGGUUUUGACUGACAGUUUAACAAUAGUACACUUUUUAUCCCAUAUAUUCUAAAUGAUUAUUAUUACAGUACAAAGCAUUUUUGCACUUGCUGUAUAUAGAUAACGUACACUUUUUGUGUAAUAACAUUCAAGAAGAGAGGGUUCUUUUAUGUCUUAGAAAUGAUGACAAUUAAUGAAGGCUCUGUCUGACACUUACAACCAAUGUCAAGGAUUGCUAUUGUGGUGCAUGGUAAUGUAAAAACUAUUGGGUACUUAGCUCCCAGUGAAGGAUCAGCAUAACUCCUGACACAUGCUAUAUAGUGGAUGAAAUAAAUCUCCUUGGAGAGCAAUAGAAAUAUUUCUUAAACUGAAGAGUACCCUUUCUUUGUUAUAAUCCUUCUUGUCAGCUUUGCAGCUCUUUGCAUCUCUGUAAAAUGCAGUUUUAAUCUGAAAAGUUACUGUUUGAAAUGGUACUUAUUAGUGCAACAAAUUUGCUUUCUUUGCUCUGCAGUCAACAUUUCUCUGAUAAGAGACUAAGGAUUCUUCUUCAGAAAAAUGGCCAGAGAUAAGGAAGAUAGGCUUUUUCUUGUUUAGGUAUGUGUCUAAUUUUCUUUUGAGGAAUUGCCUUCUUUUAGUAGUAUCCUAUCAUUUUAAGAUUUUCACUUUGAAUUCAUGGUGUCCAUUGUUCUUCAGAUCUUUGCAGAAUUAAGCAUGCUAACUUGCUUCUUAAAGCAUGGAUGUCCCCCUUUGUAUUGAUCUUCAUGAGACCAGAGAAUUUGAAAAGCCAUGGCUGUCAGAAGAAGUCACUGGUGAGAGGAAGAAGGCAAGCAUCACUCCCAUUUUCUGGAACAGGAAAAAGGAACACCGAGGGAACUACAGGCUGGUGAGCCUCACAUCUCUGCCUGGGCAGAUCAUAGAGUAGAAUCUUCUGGAAGCUAUCUUAAGGCACAUGUGAGAUGAAGAGAUGAUCUGAGACAGCCAGCACAGCUUCACCAAGGGCAGAUCAUGCUUGAUCAAUCUAAUGGCCUUCUGUGAUGGAGUGACAGCAUCAGUAGACAAAGGAAAGGCAACUGAUGUCACCUGCCUCAACUUCCACAAGGCCUCUGACAUGUUCGCAUGCCACAUCCUUAUCUCUAAAUUGGAAAGAUAUGGAUUUGAGGCGUGAACAAUUCAGUGGAGAAGGAAUUGGUCGCAACAAGAGGGUUGUGGUCAAUGACUCUGUGUCCAGGUGGAGGCUGGUCACAAGUGGUAUCCCCCAGGGGCCUGACUUGGAACCGGUGCUCUUCAACAUCAACAAGCAAGACAGUGGGAAUGAGUCUAGCCUCAGCAAGUUUGCUGAUGACAUUAAACUGAGUUCACCACAGCUGACACAACAGAAGGAAUGGAUGCCAUCCAGAGGGACCUGGACAGGCUUGAAAAGUGGCCCACAUGAACCUAAUAAGUUUCAGCAAUGCCAAAUACGGUAUGUCCUAACCAAAUUAGGACAAUCCCAGAUAUGUGUACAGACUGAGAGAACUCACUGAGAGCAGCCCUGUGGAAGCAGACUUCGGGAUCCUGAUGAACUAAAGCUGGACAUGAGCCAGCAGUGCGUGCUUGCAGCCUUGAAGGCCAACCAUAUCUUGGGCUACAUCAAAAGAUGGGUGGCCAGCAGAUUGUACCCCUCUACUCUGCCCUCAUGAGGCCCCAUCUGGAAUACUGAGUCCAGGUCUGGAGCCUCCAGCACACACAAGACAUGGAGCUUUCGGAGCUGGUCCAGAGGAGGGUCACAAACAUGAUCAAAGGACCGGAGCAUCUCUCUUAUUAAGAAAGGUUGAGAGAGCUGGGCUUGUUUAGCUUGGAGAAAAGAAAACUUCAGAGAGACCUCAUUGUGGCCUUUCAGUACUUGAGGUGAGCUUAUAAACAGAAGGGCGACCAACAGUUUACAUGUUCUGAUAGUGAUAGGACAAGGGGAAAUGAGGCUAAGUUAGAUAUUAGGAAGAAGUAUUUUUCUCAAAGGAUUGUGAGGCACUGGAACAGGUAGUCCAGAGAAGCUGUAGAUGCUCCAUCCCUGGAGACAUUCAGGCCAGGCUGGAUUGGCCCCUGGGCAGCCUGAUCUAGUGGAUAGCAACCCUGUCCACAGAAUGAGGGUUGGAACUAGAUGAUCUCUAAGAGCCCUUCCAACUCAAGCCAUUCUAUGAUUUGAUACUAGCCAUUCUAUGAUAUGAAAAUAGGCUUUCCGUGCACUGCUCUCCACGCAGGAGGGCUUUGAAGGAUUCCAACAACCAAACCCAUACCCCAAGAAAGAGACUAAAUUAACCAUAUGAAUCUGUUGACCUGAUGGCAUGGACUUUUGCAAAAUCUAUAUUGGUGACUUGACUGAAGUUUUCUGUCUAACAGUCACAAAUGAUGACACAGUUAGUGAAAUGUAUAAUUUGAAUGACCCGUUAGUUGUGUACAUCUCCAGUUCAUGUGUGCAGAGUUUAAUCUAUCUUAAUUGAGAAAAUGAGAGCCUUCAGUCAGAUUUUCAGGCAAGAGGAAGUCUUUCCAGUACAGCUGAAAAUAUUCAUGCCUUUCUGGACACUCAGAAUUGAACAUGCUUGACCAUACUUGAGGAUGUAACAUGAAGCGUGGCUGCAGUUCUCAAUAUAUAUUGUUCUAUGCUUUCAUGGCAUUAUAGAAUUGUUGAAUCAUAGAAUAUCCCAAGCUGGGGACCCACAAGGAUCAUUGAGUCAAAAUCCUAGAUUCCUUAAGUAUCUAAAAAUCAUACCUAAAAUUCAGUAAAAGGAGUAUUGUGAUUUGUGAACUGCACUAUUUGUGUGCAUUGUACGAUCCCACAAGCAAUAGCCACAGUGCUACAUCAACCUUCUUUUAUGCAACCUUACCUAAAAAUUGUACAGAAAAUUCAUUCAGUAUUCAUGCCAGUGAAUUUUCACAUUCAUUCCAACUCAUCACUGGAGAUAUAAAAUGUUAUUUUAAUAAAUGCAGAUGAUCAAGAA